RNAcentral lists this ribosomal RNA (440 nucleotides) under uncultured Porphyromonadaceae bacterium. RNAcentral describes it as "bacterial SSU rRNA". It matches the Rfam family "Bacterial small subunit ribosomal RNA", at positions 355 to 792 of the family's 1533-position model. The record is from RNAcentral. Lineage: Bacteria; Pseudomonadati; Bacteroidota; Bacteroidia; Bacteroidales; Porphyromonadaceae.
UGGGGAAUCUUCCGCAAUGGGCGCAAGCCUGACGGAGCAACGCCGCGUGAGUGAAGAAGGGUUUCGACUCGUAAAGCUCUGUUGUCGGGGAGUAACGUGCGGGACGGGUCCCGUAUUGAGAGUACCCGAAGAAAAAGCAUCGGCUAACUCCGUGCCAGCAGCCGCGGUAAUACGGAGGAUGCGAGCGUUAUCCGGAUUUAUUGGGUUUAAAGGGUGCGCAGGCGGCGCGCCAAGUCAGCGGUCAAAAGUUCCGGGCUCAACCCGGUGUCGCCGUUGAAACUGGCGUGCUCGAGUGCGUGCGAGGAAGGCGGAAUGCGUUGUGUAGCGGUGAAAUGCAUAGAUAUGACGCAGAACUCCGAUUGCGAAGGCAGCUUUCCAGCGCGCUACUGACGCUGAGGCACGAAAGCGUGGGGAUCGAACAGGAUUAGAUACCCUGGGUA